RNAcentral lists this ribosomal RNA (541 nucleotides) under Sungouiella intermedia. RNAcentral describes it as "eukaryotic LSU rRNA". It matches the Rfam family "Eukaryotic large subunit ribosomal RNA", at positions 1 to 551 of the family's 3401-position model. Lineage: Eukaryota; Fungi; Ascomycota; Pichiomycetes; Serinales; Metschnikowiaceae. The record is from RNAcentral.
UUUCGCCCUCAAAUCAGGUAGGACUACCCGCUGAACUUAAGCAUAUCAAUAAGCGGAGGAAAAGAAACCAACAGGGAUUGCCUCAGUAACGGCGAGUGAAGCGGCAAAAGCUCAAAUUUGAAAUCCUUCGGGAGUUGUAAUUUGUAGGUUGGGAGACCCCGCGGCUAGUGGCACCAAGUCCCUUGGAACAGGGCGCCUUAGAGGGUGAGAGCCCCGUAGGUACCACAAUACCGUCUUGUGUCUCCUCUCCAAAGAGUCGAGUUGUUUGGGAAUGCAGCUCAAAGUGGGUGGUAAAUUCCAUCUAAAGCUAAAUACCGGCGAGAGACCGAUAGCGAACAAGUACAGUGAUGGAAAGAUGAAAAGCACUUUGAAAAGAGAGUGAAACAGUACGUGAAAUUGUUGAAAGGGAAGGGCUUGCAAGCAGACACGGCCUUCGUGCCGGGCCAGCAUCGGUUGCUAGGGGUGGAUAAGGAACAAGGAAUGUAGCUCCUCGGAGUAUUAUAGCCUUGCGCGAUACACCCACUGGCGACCGAGGCCUGCG